CCUACGGGAGGCAGCAGUGGGGAAUAUUGGGCAAUGGGCGCAAGCCUGACCCAGCAAUGCCGCGUGAACGAAGAAGGCUUUCGGGUUGUAAACUUCUUUUAAGAGGGAAGAGCAGAAGACGGUACCUCUUGAAUAAGCCACGGCUAACUACGUGCCAGCAGCCGCGGUAAUACGUAGGUGGCAAGCGUUGUCCGGGUUUACUGGGUGUAAAGGGCGUGUAGCCGGGCUGACAAGUCAGAUGUGAAAUCCCGUGGCUCAAACACGGAACUGCAUGUGAAACUGGCGGUCUUGAGGGUCGGAGAGGCAGGCGGAAUUCCUGGUGUAGCGGUGAAAUGCGUAGAUAUUAGGAAGAACACCAGUGGCGAAGGCGGCCUGCUGGACGACAACUGACGGUGAGGCGCGAAAGCGUGGGGAGCAAACAGGAUUAGAUACCCGGGUAGUC
RNAcentral lists this ribosomal RNA (442 nucleotides) under uncultured bacterium. RNAcentral's name for it is "partial 16S ribosomal RNA". It matches the Rfam family "Bacterial small subunit ribosomal RNA", at positions 338 to 795 of the family's 1533-position model. The record is from RNAcentral.